Molecule: microRNA precursor, 201 nt
Organism: Oryza sativa Indica Group (long-grained rice)
Lineage: Eukaryota; Viridiplantae; Streptophyta; Magnoliopsida; Poales; Poaceae
Rfam family: MIR812 microRNA precursor family
Source: Rfam
AAAAAGACAAACCUGGUUUCCGUGUCCAACGUUUAACCAUUUAUUUUAUUUGAAAAAUUAUAAAAAAAAUAAAAAGACAAGUCACGUAUAAAAUAUUAAUCAUGUUUUAUCAUCUAACAAAAUAAAAAUAUGAAUUAUAAAAAAAUUUCAUAUAAGACAGACUGUUAAAGUUGGACACGGAAAUCUAGGGUUUGCCUUUUU